AUUGAACGCUGGCGGCAUGCUUUACACAUGCAAGUCGAACGGUAACAGGUUAAGCUGACGAGUGGCGAACGGGUGAGUAAUGCAUCGGAACGUGCCCGGUCGUGGGGGAUAACGCAGCGAAAGCUGCGCUAAUACCGCAUACGAUCUAAGGAUGAAAGCGGGGGACCGUAAGGCCUCGCGCGAUCGGAGCGGCCGAUGUCAGAUUAGGUAGUUGGUGGGUUAAAGGCUCACCAAGCCAACGAUCUGUAGCUGGUCUGAGAGGACGACCAGCCACACUGGGACUGGGACACGGCCCAGACUCCUACGGGAGGCAGCAGUGGGAAUUUUGGACAAUGGGCGAAAGCCUGAUCCAGCAAUGCCGCGUGCAGGAAGAAGGCCUUCGGGUUGUAAACUGCUUUUGUACGGAGCGAAAAGGUCUCCUCUAAUACAGGGGGCUCAUGACGGUACCGUAAGAAUAAGCACCGGCUAACUACGUGCCAGCAGCCGCGGUAA
RNAcentral lists this ribosomal RNA (492 nucleotides) under uncultured bacterium. Its description in RNAcentral is "partial 16S ribosomal RNA". It matches the Rfam family "Bacterial small subunit ribosomal RNA", at positions 30 to 523 of the family's 1533-position model. The record is from RNAcentral.